Molecule: microRNA precursor, 58 nt
Filed under: Petromyzon marinus (sea lamprey)
Lineage: Eukaryota; Metazoa; Chordata; Hyperoartia; Petromyzontiformes; Petromyzontidae
Description: Pma-Mir-137-o3_pre stem-loop
Source: RNAcentral
ACGUGUAUUCUUGGUGAAUAAUACAGAUGUCGCUGUUAUUGCUUAAGAAUACACGUAG